Molecule: ribosomal RNA, 31 nt
Filed under: Oreasteridae sp. NCY4
Lineage: Eukaryota; Metazoa; Echinodermata; Asteroidea; Valvatida; Oreasteridae
Description: partial 12S ribosomal RNA
Source: RNAcentral
AGGCGUAUUCGGAAAUGCGCCUGGAACUAAA